AGUGAACGCUGGCGGUAGGCCUAACACAUGCAAGUCGAACGGCAGCACAGUAAUAGCUUGCUCUUACGGGUGGCGAGUGGCGGACGGGUUAGGAAUACAUCCGAAUCUACUUUUUCGUGGUGGGUGACGGAGGGGCAAAUACCGCAAUACCCCAUCCGGCCUAAGGGUGGAAUCCUGAGAUCUUUCGCACUUGGGGGGUUGGAUGAGCCGAUGUCGGAUUAGCUAGUUGGCGGGGUAAAGGCCCACCAAGGCGACGAUCCGUAGCUGGUCUGAGAGGAUGAUCAGCCACACUGGAACUGAGACACGGUCCAGACUCCUACGGGAGGCAGCAGUGGGGAAUAUUGGACAAUGGGCGCAAGCCUGAUCCAGCCAUACCGCGUGGGUGAAGAAGGCCUUCGGGUUGUAAAGCCCUUUUGUUGGGAAAGAAAAGCAGCAGGUUAAUACCCCGCUGUUCUGACGGUACCCAAAGAAUAAGCACCGGCUAACUUCGUG
This 492-nucleotide ribosomal RNA is filed under the name uncultured bacterium. RNAcentral's name for it is "partial 16S ribosomal RNA". It matches the Rfam family "Bacterial small subunit ribosomal RNA", at positions 29 to 507 of the family's 1533-position model. The record is from RNAcentral.